GCGGCGUGCUUAACACAUGCAAGUCGAACGAUGAACCUGGAGCUUGCUCCAGGGGAUUAGUGGCGAACGGGUGAGUAACACGUGAGUAACCUGCCCUUGACUCUGGGAUAACCUCCGGAAACGGAAGCUAAUACCGGAUACGACGCACGGAGGCAUCUCCUGUGCGUGGAAAGAACUUCGGUCAAGGAUGGACUCGCGGCCUAUCAGGUAGUUGGUGAGGUAACGGCUCACCAAGCCUACGACGGGUAGCCGGCCUGAGAGGGUGACCGGCCACACUGGGACUGAGACACGGCCCAGACUCCUACGGGAGGCAGCAGUGGGGAAUAUUGCACAAUGGGCGCAAGCCUGAUGCAGCAACGCCGCGUGAGGGAUGACGGCCUUCGGGUUGUAAACCUCUUUUAGUAGGGAAGAAGCGAAAGUGACGGUACCUGCAGAAAAAGCACCGGCUAACUACGUGCCAGCAGCCGCGGUAAUACGUAGGGUGCGAGCGUUGUCCGGAAUUAUUGGGCGUAAAGAGNUCGUAGGCGGUCUGUCGCGUCUGCUGUGAAAACCCGAGGCUCAACCUCGGGCCUGCAGUGGGUACGGGCAGACUAAAGUGCGGUAGGGGAGAAUGGAAUUCCUGGUGUAGCGGUGGAAUGCGCAGAUAUCAGGAGGAACACC
RNAcentral lists this ribosomal RNA (660 nucleotides) under uncultured bacterium. RNAcentral describes it as "bacterial SSU rRNA". It matches the Rfam family "Bacterial small subunit ribosomal RNA", at positions 39 to 710 of the family's 1533-position model. The record is from RNAcentral.